This 253-nucleotide ribosomal RNA is filed under the name uncultured bacterium. RNAcentral describes it as "partial 16S ribosomal RNA". It matches the Rfam family "Bacterial small subunit ribosomal RNA", at positions 524 to 776 of the family's 1533-position model. The record is from RNAcentral.
UACGAAGGGGGCUAGCGUUGCUCGGAAUUACUGGGCGUAAAGGGUGCGUAGGCGGGUCUUUAAGUCAGGGGUGAAAUCCUGGAGCUCAACUCCAGAACUGCCUUUGAUACUGAGGAUCUUGAGUUCGGGAGAGGUGAGUGGAACUGCGAGUGUAGAGGUGAAAUUCGUAGAUAUUCGCAAGAACACCAGUGGCGAAGGCGGCUCACUGGCCCGAUACUGACGCUGAGGCGCGAAAGCGUGGGGAGCAAACAGG